RNAcentral lists this ribosomal RNA (399 nucleotides) under Triticum aestivum (bread wheat). RNAcentral describes it as "partial small subunit ribosomal RNA". Lineage: Eukaryota; Viridiplantae; Streptophyta; Magnoliopsida; Poales; Poaceae. The record is from RNAcentral.
AUGGUAGCCUUUCGGGAUACUCUAGAGAUCUGUGGGCUGGUGGACUUGGGUUUUGUGGGAAUACCUUUCACUUACAACAACAAGAGGGGAGGGUCAGGUAACGUCCAAGUCCGUUUGGACAGAGUAGUGGCUACAAAUGACUGGAGGAACUUGUUUUCUUUUACUAUGGUUCUCCAUGUUCCAUCUCCUUGCUCUGAUCAUGUGGCGGUCGUGCUAAAGGCAACUACAGACCAAGGACCAUUAGGAGGCAAGCAGCGUAGGUAUGAGCUGAUUUGGGAGAGGGAUGUUGUGCUUCCCGAAGUGAUUAAAGAGGCAUGGGAGGCGGUAGGCAAUAUCCAGAAUCUAGAGCAACUCCGGGAUGCCCUGUCAAAAACUAUGAUAAUGUUGGGUAAGUGGAGU